Molecule: small RNA, 23 nt
Filed under: Arabidopsis thaliana (thale cress)
Lineage: Eukaryota; Viridiplantae; Streptophyta; Magnoliopsida; Brassicales; Brassicaceae
Description: Ath_wt_14145
Source: RNAcentral
CCUCUUUGAUGUACUUGUUGAAC